GACGAACGCUAGCGGCGUGCUUAACACAUGCAAGUCGAACGAAGAGCGAUGGAAGCUUGCUUCUAUCAAUCUUAGUGGCGAACGGGUGAGUAACGCGUAAUCAACCUGCCCUUCAGAGGGGGACAACAGUUGGAAACGACUGCUAAUACCGCAUACGAUCUAAUCUCGGCAUCGAGGAUAGAUGAAAGGUGGCCUCUACAUGUAAGCUAUCACUGAAGGAGGGGAUUGCGUCUGAUUAGCUAGUUGGAGGGGUAACGGCCCACCAAGGCGAUGAUCAGUAGCCGGUCUGAGAGGAUGAACGGCCACAUUGGGACUGAGACACGGCCCAGACUCCUACGGGAGGCAGCAGUGGGGAAUCUUCCGCAAUGGACGAAAGUCUGACGGAGCAACGCCGCGUGAGUGAUGACGGCCUUCGGGUUGUAAAGCUCUGUUAAUCGGGACGAAAGGCCUUCUUGCGAACAGUUAGAAGGAUUGACGGUACCGGAAUAGAAAGCCACGGCUAACUACGUG
Molecule: ribosomal RNA, 510 nt
Filed under: uncultured bacterium
Lineage: Bacteria
Description: partial 16S ribosomal RNA
Rfam family: Bacterial small subunit ribosomal RNA
Source: RNAcentral